RNAcentral lists this ribosomal RNA (253 nucleotides) under uncultured bacterium. Its description in RNAcentral is "partial 16S ribosomal RNA". It matches the Rfam family "Bacterial small subunit ribosomal RNA", at positions 524 to 776 of the family's 1533-position model. The record is from RNAcentral.
UACGUAGGGUGCAAGCGUUGUCCGGAAUUAUUGGGCGUAAAGAGCUCGUAGGCGGUUCGUCGCGUCGGCUGUGAAAACCCGGAGCUCAACUCCGGGCCUGCAGUCGAUACGGGCGGGCUAGAGUUCGGCAGGGGAGACUGGAAUUCCUGGUGUAGCGGUGAAAUGCGCAGAUAUCAGGAGGAACACCGGUGGCGAAGGCGGGUCUCUGGGCCGAUACUGACGCUGAGGAGCGAAAGCGUGGGGAGCGAACAGG